AUACGGGGGAUGCGAGCGUUAUCCGGAUUUAUUGGGUUUAAAGGGUGCGCAGGCGGCGUGUCAAGUCAGCGGUCAAAAUGCGGCGCUCAACGCCGUACCGCCGUUGAAACUGGCAUGCUCGAGUUCGUGCGAGGAUGGCGGAAUGCGCGGUGUAGCGGUGAAAUGCAUAGAUAUCGCGCAGAACUCCGAUUGCGAAGGCAGCUGUCCAGCACACGACUGACGCUCAUGCACGAAAGUGUGGGUAUCGAACAGGAUUAGAUACCCUGGUAGUCCACGCGGUAAACGAUGAUAACUAGUUAUUCGGCGCGACUGAGUGCUGAGUGACCGAGCGAAAGCGUUAAGUUAUCCACCUGGGGAGUACGCCGGCAACGGUGAAACUUAAAGGAAUUGACGGGG
This 396-nucleotide ribosomal RNA is filed under the name uncultured bacterium. RNAcentral describes it as "partial 16S ribosomal RNA". It matches the Rfam family "Bacterial small subunit ribosomal RNA", at positions 523 to 918 of the family's 1533-position model. The record is from RNAcentral.